GAUGAACGCUGACAGAAUGCUUAACACAUGCAAGUCUACUUGAAUUUGGGUUUUUAACUUAGGUUUGGGUGGCGGACGGGUGAGUAACGCGUAAAGAACUUGCCUCACAGCUAGGGACAACAUUUAGAAAUGAAUGCUAAUACCUAAUAUUAUGAUAAUAGGGCAUCCUAUAAUUAUGAAAGCUAUAAGCGCUGUGAGAGAGCUUUGCGUCCCAUUAGCUAGUUGGAGAGGUAACGGCUCACCAAGGCGAUGAUGGGUAGCCGGCCUGAGAGGGUGAUCGGCCACAAGGGGACUGAGACACGGCCCUUACUCCUACGGGAGGCAGCAGUGGGGAAUAUUGGACAAUGGACCGAGAGUCUGAUCCAGCAAUUCUGUGUGCACGAUGAAGUUUUUCGGAAUGUAAAGUGCUUUCAGCUGGGAAGAAAGAAAUGACGGUACCAACAGAAGAAGUGACGGCUAAAUACGUGCCAGCAGCCGCGGUAAUACGUAUGUCACGAGCGUUAUCCGGAUUUAUUGGGCGUAAAGCGCGUCUAGGUGGUUAUAUAAGUCUGAUGUGAAAAUGCAGGGCUCAACUCUGUAUUGCGUUGGAAACUGUAUAACUAGAGUACUGGAGAGGUAAGCGGAACUACAAGUGUAGAGGUGAAAUUCGUAGAUAUUUGUAGGAAUGCCGAUGGGGAAGCCAGCUUACUGGACAGAUACUGACGCUGAAGCGCGAAAGCGUGGGUAGCAAACAGG
RNAcentral lists this ribosomal RNA (735 nucleotides) under uncultured Fusobacterium sp. RNAcentral describes it as "bacterial SSU rRNA". It matches the Rfam family "Bacterial small subunit ribosomal RNA", at positions 28 to 776 of the family's 1533-position model. Lineage: Bacteria; Fusobacteriati; Fusobacteriota; Fusobacteriia; Fusobacteriales; Fusobacteriaceae. The record is from RNAcentral.